UACGGAGGGUGCGAGCGUUGUCCGGAAUUAUUGGGCGUAAAGGGUGCGUAGGCGGUGUGGUAAGUCAGCUGUGAAAUCUCCUGGCUUAACUGGGAGAAUGCAGUCGAAACUACCAGGCUGGAGUGUCGGAGAGGUGAGUGGAAUUCCUGGUGUAGCGGUGAAAUGCGUAGAUAUCAGGAAGAACACCUGUGGCGAAAGCGGCGCACUGGACCACAACUGACGCUGAGGCACGAAAGCUAGGGGAGCAAACAGG
This 253-nucleotide ribosomal RNA is filed under the name uncultured bacterium. RNAcentral describes it as "partial 16S ribosomal RNA". It matches the Rfam family "Bacterial small subunit ribosomal RNA", at positions 524 to 776 of the family's 1533-position model. The record is from RNAcentral.